CCUACGGGAGGCAGCAGUCGAGAAUCAUUCACAAUGGGGGAAACCCUGAUGGUGCGACGCCGCGUGGGGGAAUGAAGGUCUUCGGAUUGUAAACCCCUGUCAUGUGGGAGCAAAUUAAAAAGAUAGUACCACAAGAGGAAGAGACGGCUAACUCUGUGCCAGCAGCCGCGGUAAUACAGAGGUCUCAAGCGUUGUUCGGAAUCACUGGGCGUAAAGCGUGCGUAGGCUGUUUCGUAAGUCGUGUGUGAAAGGCGCGGGCUCAACCCGCGGACGGCACAUGAUACUGCGAGACUAGAGUAAGGGAGGGGGAACCGGAAUUCUCGGUGUAGCAGUGAAAUGCGUAGAUAUCGAGAGGAACACUCGUGGCGAAGGCGGGUUCCUGGACAGUAACUGACGCUGAGGCACGAAGGCCAGGGGAGCGAAAGGGAUUAGAUACCCGUGUAGUC
This 446-nucleotide ribosomal RNA is filed under the name uncultured bacterium. RNAcentral describes it as "partial 16S ribosomal RNA". It matches the Rfam family "Bacterial small subunit ribosomal RNA", at positions 338 to 795 of the family's 1533-position model. The record is from RNAcentral.